GGUGCCGUGGCAAAGUAUUGGUCUACAAACCCAUGGUUGGCAAUUCAAACCUAUUGGUUGCCCUGCAAGAGAAAACUGAGACUUUCUGCCUGUCGUGAAAAUGUACAGCCUGGAAACCCAGACAGGUCUCAGAUGACUACAAUCUUCAGCCAGGUUGUGAGAACCACUACCUAAGACCAAGUAAGACUCUUCAGAGGCUUCGCAUAAGCAAGGAUGGCGAGACUUCGUAUUGCAUGCUUUCCCCAGACUGUCUGGAGCGGCCGGUCCCUGGAGAAGGCCGUCAUCUUGGUGGAACAGAGAGGCAGUGAAAAAGGGAGGUCGUCUACGAGAUGGAUUGACGCGUGGCUGCAACAAAGCGCUCAGGCGCAGGAAAAAGAUGGUAAAAGAAGCCACUAGAUGAUGCUCACAGCUUCCCUGCCCUGUGGGGAGGUCAUCCAGCCACAUAGACAAUCUUCCAGGCUCCAAGGCCAACCCCCGCCAAGGGCCUGUUUAAAUAAGUCAAGUGAAUGUUUUCUGGGGAGAGGGAUCUCUCUUUCUCUCUCAAUGAAACUGAUGCCAGGCUGCCUCCGAGUUACUCCUCUCUCGAACGCCAAGUCAAUAAAACCAAGAUCUUAAGUAAUUUGUUUAAAUGUAAAGUCUGCACUGAUUAGAUACUUUGUGGAUUACUCCUUUUCCUAGUAAAGAAAAAUCAAUGUGA
Molecule: long non-coding RNA, 697 nt
Organism: Echinops telfairi (small Madagascar hedgehog)
Lineage: Eukaryota; Metazoa; Chordata; Mammalia; Afrosoricida; Tenrecidae
Exons: 3
Source: RefSeq, a predicted model, not a curated record